Molecule: long non-coding RNA, 217 nt
Organism: Zingiber officinale
Lineage: Eukaryota; Viridiplantae; Streptophyta; Magnoliopsida; Zingiberales; Zingiberaceae
Exons: 3
Source: RefSeq, a predicted model, not a curated record
GACUCGGUGCCCUAGACCGCCGGAAAACCAGAAGCUGGAGAAGAUGACAACAAGCGACAAUAAUUUGACAGUGGGAUUGAAGAGUCUUGGUCUCCAGCAGCGGCUACUCCUUUCGGCGGCACUAUCCCUAGUUGUGGAUCAAUAGCGGCUGUGAAUUGAGGGAUAUGGAUUUGGUGGACAGCAGCCGUUGGAGUUCAUAUGAGUGGAAUAUAUGGAU